AUUGAACGCUGGCGGCAGGCCUAACACAUGCAAGUCGAGCGGAUGAAGGGAGCUUGCUCCUGGAUUCAGCGGCGGACGGGUGAGUAAUGCCUAGGAAUCUGCCUGGUAGUGGGGGAUAACGUCCGGAAACGGGCGCUAAUACCGCAUACGUCCUGAGGGAGAAAGUGGGGGAUCUUCGGACCUCACGCUAUCAUAUGAGCCUAGGUCGGAUUAGCUAGUUGGUGGGGUAAAGGCCUACCAAGGCGACGAUCCGUAACUGGUCUGAGAGGAUGAUCAGUCACACGGGAACUGAGACACGGUACAGACUCCUAAGGGAGGCAGCAGAGGGGAAUAUUGGACAAUGGGCGAAAGCAUGAUACAGCCAUGCCGCGUGUGUGAAGAAGGUCUUCGGAUUGUAAAGCACUUUAAGUUGGGAGGAAGGGCAGUAAGUUAAUACCUUGCUGUUUUGACGUUACCAACAGAAUAAGCACCGGCUAACUUCGUG
Molecule: ribosomal RNA, 484 nt
Filed under: uncultured bacterium
Lineage: Bacteria
Description: partial 16S ribosomal RNA
Rfam family: Bacterial small subunit ribosomal RNA
Source: RNAcentral